CGAAAGCCUGACGGAGCAAUACCGCGUGAGGGAGGAAGGCUCUUGGGUUGUAAACCUCAAAACUUAGGGAAGAAGAAAGUGACGGUACUUUAAGAAUAAGCAUCGGCUAACUCCGUGCCAGCAGCCGCGGUAAUACGGAGGAUGCAAGCGUUAUCCGGAAUCAUUGGGCGUAAAGAGUCCGUAGGCGGCUAGUCAAGUCUGCUGUCGAAGACCGAAGCUUAACUUCGGAGAGGCGGUUGAAACUGAAAAGCUAGAGUACAGAAGGGGUAGAGGGAAUUCCCAGUGUAGCGGUGAAAUGCGUAGAUAUUGGGAAGAACACCAGUGGCGAAGGCGCUCAACUGGGCCGUAACUGACACUCAGGGACGAAAGCUAGGGUAGCG
This 380-nucleotide ribosomal RNA is filed under the name uncultured cyanobacterium. RNAcentral's name for it is "bacterial SSU rRNA". It matches the Rfam family "Bacterial small subunit ribosomal RNA", at positions 376 to 770 of the family's 1533-position model. Lineage: Bacteria; Bacillati; Cyanobacteriota. The record is from RNAcentral.